RNAcentral lists this ribosomal RNA (227 nucleotides) under Escherichia coli. RNAcentral describes it as "partial 16S ribosomal RNA". It matches the Rfam family "Bacterial small subunit ribosomal RNA", at positions 486 to 712 of the family's 1533-position model. The record is from RNAcentral. Lineage: Bacteria; Pseudomonadati; Pseudomonadota; Gammaproteobacteria; Enterobacterales; Enterobacteriaceae.
AGAAGCACCGGCUAACUCCGUGCCAGCAGCCGCGGUAAUACGGAGGGUGCAAGCGUUAAUCGGAAUUACUGGGCGUAAAGCGCACGCAGGCGGUUUGUUAAGUCAGAUGUGAAAUCCCCGGGCUCAACCUGGGAACUGCAUCUGAUACUGGCAAGCUUGAGUCUCGUAGAGGGGGGUAGAAUUCCAGGUGUAGCGGUGAAAUGCGUAGAGAUCUGGAGGAAUACCGG